RNAcentral lists this ribosomal RNA (253 nucleotides) under uncultured bacterium. RNAcentral describes it as "partial 16S ribosomal RNA". It matches the Rfam family "Bacterial small subunit ribosomal RNA", at positions 524 to 776 of the family's 1533-position model. The record is from RNAcentral.
UACAGAGGACUCGAGCGUUAGGCGGAAUCACUGGGCUUAAAGCGUGUGUAGGCGGAUCGGUAAGUACCUUGUGAAAUCCCACAGCUUAACUGUGGAACUGCUUGGUAUACUGCCAGUCUUGAGCCACUUAGGGGCUACCGGAACAAAUGGUGGAGCGGUGAAAUGCGUAGAUAUCAUUUGGAACGCCAAUGGUGAAAACAGGUAGCUGGGAGUGUGCUGACGCUGAGACACGAAAGCCAGGGGAGCAAACGGG